RNAcentral lists this ribosomal RNA (388 nucleotides) under uncultured Glomeromycotina. RNAcentral's name for it is "SSU rRNA". It matches the Rfam family "Eukaryotic small subunit ribosomal RNA", at positions 691 to 1077 of the family's 1831-position model. The record is from RNAcentral. Lineage: Eukaryota; Fungi; Glomeromycota.
GGUUUCUCCCUUCUGACGAACCAUGAUGUCAUUUAUUUGGUGUUGUGGGGAAUCAGGACUGUUACUUUGAAAAAAUUAGAGUGUUUAAAGCAGGCUCACGCUUGAAUACAUUAGCAUGGAAUAAUGAAAUAGGACUUUUGAUUCUAUUUUGUUGGUUUCUAGGAUCGACGUAAUGAUUAAUAGGGAUAGUUGGGGGCAUUAGUAUUCAAUUGUCAGAGGUGAAAUUCUUGGAUUUAUUGAAGACUAACUACUGCGAAAGCAUUUGCCAAGGAUGUUUUCAUUAAUCAAGAACGAAAGUUAGGGGAUCGAAGACGAUCAGAUACCGUCGUAGUCUUAACCAUAAACUAUGCCGACUAGGGAUCGGAUGAUGUUAAUUUUUUAAUGACUC